This 413-nucleotide ribosomal RNA is filed under the name uncultured eukaryote. RNAcentral describes it as "SSU rRNA". It matches the Rfam family "Eukaryotic small subunit ribosomal RNA", at positions 592 to 1018 of the family's 1831-position model. The record is from RNAcentral.
CAAUAGCGUAUAUUAAAGUUGUUGCGGUUAAAGAGCUCGUAGUUGGAUUUCUGCUGAGGACGAUUGGUCCGCCCUCUGGGUGAGCAUUGACUCGGCCUUGGCAUCUUCUUGGAGAACGCUACUGCACUUGACUGUGUGGUGCGGUGUCCAGGACUUUUACUUUGUUAGUGUUUCAAGCAGGCGCACGCCUUGAAUACAUUAGCAUGGAAUAAUAGGAUAGGACCUUGGUUCUAUUUUGUUGGCUUCUAGAGCUGAGGUAAUGAUUAAUAGGGAUAGUUAGGGGCAUUCGUAUUUAACUGUCAGAGGUGAAGUUCUUGGAUUUGUUAAAGACGGACUACUGCGAAUGCAUUUGCCAAUGAUUUUUUCUAUUGAUCAAGAACGAAAGUUAGGGAUCGAAGACGAUCAGAUACCAU